Molecule: ribosomal RNA, 482 nt
Filed under: Micrablepharus maximiliani
Lineage: Eukaryota; Metazoa; Chordata; Lepidosauria; Squamata; Gymnophthalmidae
Description: partial large subunit ribosomal RNA
Rfam family: Bacterial large subunit ribosomal RNA
Source: RNAcentral
GCCUGCCAGUGAUACAUUUAACGGCCGCGGGAUCCCUCCCACCGUGCAAAGGUAGCAUAAUCACUUUGUCCCCUAAAUAGAGACUAGUAUGAAUGGCCAAAUGAAGAUUUACCUGUCUCUUGCAGUUAAUCUAUUAAACUGAUCUUUCAGUACAAAAGCUGAAAUAUAAACAUAAGACGAAAAGACCCUGUGGAACUUAAAGAAACAGUCAACAAAAAUGACCCUGCCACUUUUAGUUGGGGCAACUUUGGAAAAAAACAAAACUUCCAAUAAAUAACUAAGGCAGACAUGCCUACGCCAAUUACACCAGACCCAGUAUUACUGAACAACGAAAAAGCUACCCCAGGGAUAACAGCGCCAUCCCCCUCUUAGAGCCCCCAUCGACGAGCGGGGUUUACGACCUCGAUGUUGGAUCAGGGCCCCCAAGCAGUGCAGCAGCUGCUAAAGGUUUGUUUGUUCAACAAUUAAAGCCCUACGUGAUC